Molecule: long non-coding RNA, 1968 nt
Filed under: Scleropages formosus (Asian bonytongue)
Lineage: Eukaryota; Metazoa; Chordata; Actinopteri; Osteoglossiformes; Osteoglossidae
Description: lncRNA (ENSSFOG00015027660.1)
Source: RNAcentral
AUGGCAGCCGAGAGGCGUCCAGACCCAACAUGCCCCAUUUGCCUUGAUUGCAUGAGUGACUCAGCUUAUCCAGACUGCUGUGUCCAUACGUUUUGUUUCACCUGCAUCAAGAAGUGGAGUACUAACUCACCUCAGUGCCCUCUCUGCAGAAGGCUGAUUAACUGGAUCUUCCAAACCAAGACGAAGACCAAGUGGGCUGUGGUCAGGUCGAAUCGUGUCAGUAGCCCUUCAGUGACCUCCACGGUGAGCAGGCAGGAUAACAGGACAAGGGUGGAAGACGACACUGUGAGUAGGCAGUCAGAGGAUGAUGAAACCCCCAGCUCUUCCUCUGCAGCCAGGGUGCUCCCGGUCUCUAAUGAGAGAUCAGAGUCGGGCCAGAGAGGCGGCACUUCCGCCGAGCAGGAGGAGAACCAUGUCUCUUCGGGGUACGCAGCGCCCAGAGCCGAGCGGAGACCAGAGCUGUCUUCAGCGUCCUCAAGAGAGCGCACACGCAGCAUUCGUGGCCUGAGCUGGAGAGCGAGGAGCACAAGGAGAUUUCGAUACCACACUCUAUCUCAAUCGCUGUCCAACAGGCGCGUUGGUUCACUGACAUACCAACAGCGGCGGGUGCCUCACGUAUCUUUUCGGAGCAGAUCUGACUGGAGGAGAUGGAGCCGAAGUCCCAGGGAAACAGUGCAAGAGAACCGGGCCGCAGAGUUGAGCCACAGUGCCCAGACAGAGCCACAGGCUCAGAUUGCUGUGACCCCUUCUGAAAACAGGAGCAAUCCUUCGAUACAUCCUGUGUUGUCCACACAUGUUGGCUCUAGAAUCGAGGAAGAAAGCACUACAAGUGAGGUGUCAGUGGAUGAUGAAACACCAAGCUCUUUUUCCUCAGCUAGGGAGCUCCCAGUCUCUAAUGAGAGAUCAGACCAAAGACAGGGCACCUUCGCUGAAGAGGAGGGCCGCACCGUUACGGGCUCUGUCGAACCUAUAGGUGAGCAAACACCAGAGCUGGCUUCAGAGACUGAAGGAGAACAUGUACAGCUACAAAAUGAACCAGAGCUGCGAUGGAGACCACGGGGUGCAAGGAGGCUUCGAUACCAGUGUCCGUCCCACUCGCUCUCCAACUGGCGUAUCAGUGCCCUGCCAUACCACCAGCGGCGGAUGGAGCCCUUGAAUUUUAGGGAAAGAUCUGACCUGACGAGAUGGAGCCAAAACCCCAGAGAAACAGUCCAUGGGAACCAGGCUGUGGAGGUGAGGCAGGAUUCGCAAACUGAGAGAGAGACUCAGUUCACUGUGGGCCCCUCUGAAGAGAUCAACAGUUCUUUGGUGUGGUCUCCAUUGUCCUCACAAGAUGACUGGACAAGAGAGGAAGGAAACAUUGCAAGGGAUGUGCCAGGGGAUGGUGAGACGCCCAGCUGUUCUUCCUCAGCCAGGACUCAUCUCAUCUUUGAUGAGAGAUCCGAGUCAGGCCAGAGGGAAGGUGUCUCUGCUGAGGAGGACCGCGUCAUUGUGGGCUAUGCUGAGCCCGUAGCUGAAUGGACACCGGGGCUAGAUUCAGAGUCGGGAGGAGAGCGUGUACAGUUUCACAACCUCCAAGACCUGAGUUGGAGAACAGGGAGUGUGAGGAGUAUGAGGUACACAAGUAGAUUUCAAUAUUGUUCCCCAUCCCAGUUGCUCUCCAAUGUACGCAGUGGGUCCUUGCAAAAUCACCAAUGGCAGAUGCGUCACACGUGGUUUAGAGACAGGUCUCACUGGAGGAGUUGCAGCCAAAGUCCCAGUGAAACAGUUCAGGGGAACCAGGCUGCUGAGAUGAGCCGGAGUGCCCAAAGAGGUAGGGGGACUCCGUUUGUUGUGGCCCAAUGUGAACACAUUAGUAGUCCUUCAGCCCGGUCUCUGUCACAUACGCAUGAUGGCUGGAUGACGGAGGAAGAAGACACUGUGAGGGAUGUGUCAGGGGAUGAAGAGAGACCUGGCCCUUCUUCCUAG